This 253-nucleotide ribosomal RNA is filed under the name uncultured bacterium. RNAcentral describes it as "partial 16S ribosomal RNA". It matches the Rfam family "Bacterial small subunit ribosomal RNA", at positions 524 to 776 of the family's 1533-position model. The record is from RNAcentral.
UACAGAGGUCUCAAGCGUUGUUCGGAUUCAUUGGGCGUAAAGGGUGUGUAGGUGGCGCUGUAAGUCGGGUGUGAAAUCUCGGGGCUUAACUCCGAAACUGCAUUCGAUACUGCGGCGCUUGAGGACUGGAGAGGAGACUGGAAUUCAUGGUGUAGCAGUGAAAUGCGUAGAGAUCAUGAGGAAGACCAGUGGCGAAGGCGGGUCUCUGGACAGUUCCUGACACUGAGACACGAAGGCCAGGGGAGCAAACGGG